UACGAACGCUGGCGGCGUGCUUAACACAUGCAAGUCGAACGGAAAGGCCCUGCUUUUGUGGGGUGCUCGAGUGGCGAACGGGUGAGUAACACGUGAGUAACCUGCCCAUUCCUUUGGGAUAACUUCAGGUAACUGUGGCUAAUACCGGAUAUGAGCUCCUGCUGCAUGGUGUGGGUAGGAAAGUUUCGGCGGUUGGGGAUGGACUCGGGACGUUGUAGCUUGUUGGUGGGGUAGUGGCUUACAAAGGCUUUGAGGGCUGGCCGGCCUGGGCGGGGGACCGGCCACUUUGGGACUGAUAUACGGCCAAAACUCCUACGGGAGACAGAAUUGGGAAAUAUUGAACAAUGGGCGAAAGCCUGAGGCAGCAACGCCGGUUGCGGGAGAAGGGCCUUCGGGUUGUAACCCGCUUUCGCCUGUGACGAAGCGUGAGUGACGGUAAUGGGUAAAGAAGCACCGGCUAACUACGUG
This 468-nucleotide ribosomal RNA is filed under the name uncultured bacterium. RNAcentral's name for it is "partial 16S ribosomal RNA". It matches the Rfam family "Bacterial small subunit ribosomal RNA", at positions 29 to 507 of the family's 1533-position model. The record is from RNAcentral.